This 253-nucleotide ribosomal RNA is filed under the name uncultured bacterium. Its description in RNAcentral is "partial 16S ribosomal RNA". It matches the Rfam family "Bacterial small subunit ribosomal RNA", at positions 524 to 776 of the family's 1533-position model. The record is from RNAcentral.
UACGUAGGGGGCAAGCGUUAUCCGGAAUUACUGGGUGUAAAGGGAGCGUAGACGGUAAUGUAAGUCUGGAGUGAAAGGCGGGGGCCCAACCCCCGGACUGCUCUGGAAACUAUGUUACUAGAGUGCAGGAGAGGUAAGCGGAAUUCCUAGUGUAGCGGUGAAAUGCGUAGAUAUUAGAAGGAGCACCAGUGGCGAAGGCGGCUUACUGGACUGUAACUGACGUUGAGGCUCGAAAGCGUGGGGAGCAAACAGG